Molecule: long non-coding RNA, 1745 nt
Organism: Camelus dromedarius (Arabian camel)
Lineage: Eukaryota; Metazoa; Chordata; Mammalia; Artiodactyla; Camelidae
Exons: 4
Source: RefSeq, a predicted model, not a curated record
GCGGAGGGGAGAGGGGCUGCGGGCUGAGCGGCCGAGGGUUUAACCAGUCCUGCCUGAUGGCACCUCCAUGAGAAAGCCAAAAUACAAGGACUGUGAGAGCUUCCGGGUGGGGAGCACGCCCGCAGGUUGGGAGGCAGCUGCCCCCCAAAGUCCACAGAGACUGAAGCCCCAGCACUCGGGACCCUCCUGGACCUCGUCAUCUGGAGAAUCACCCCCGUCUUCAGCAUAAACGAUCCCACACAGAAGUGACGGCCUACCGGAUCUGUCGUCCUCUGCCUGCCUGCCUUUGCGUUGGAGGGGCCUCCAGACGCUGCAUCCACUAUGAAGGUGGUCGAUCGACUGCAGAAGCCAUCGGCUCCGCUGAGCUGUUCAGGGAGAGAAGGUCAAACGCUGGGGUCAGACCUCAGGGAGCGUCUCCACUCAGGCUGUGGGAGGAAAAGGCUGUGGAGACAGGAGAAAGGAAGGCACUGACUUUUUAAAAUUAUUUUUUCAUGGUUCUGCACACACACCUGGGAGACGGGUCCACCCUGCCGCAGAGAAGGGAGUCAGGUGCUCAUCUGGCCUCGACGGGGACCUGGGACAUAAGCCAGCCAGCAAACAUCAGGAUGUCCGUGAAGGGAAAAGGUACCACACGUCGGAAGAGCUGGGUUCCCCCGUGCUCCGUAUUCACGCCAGGAAGACACAGGCGUCCUGUCCGCACUGUGGCCAGACGAUGUCACCGGGAAGGGGAACUGUGACACGCCGCUGCACUGGUGAGAUCUGGGGUGAUUUCACGUCCCCAGGGAGUCCCCGGGAUCCAUGACACUGCGUGGGAGGUCCCCUGAGGCCGGCGGGGAGGCGGGAAUGGCUUCUUACGUACGAACACCGUUGAAUCCUUAACUGGCGCAAGGCUGUCCGUCUUGCCUGACGGCCUCACUGCUCGCCGCAUCUGAGUCCCUCGAUCCUGCUGAGAGAAUGUUCAAGAAUCAGUACCUCAGACCGUGUCACUGCUGGACUUUCUCCCGCCCGCCCCCUACACCCGCCAGAACGUGGGGACCGGGACUACGGGCACUAGAAGAAUGACACUUCGUUUCACUGCUUUGCUGCCUUGAGCGCCCGGGAGCAGACAGGGCUGGCUUUUACGUCACGGCUGUUUUUCAGUGACUUCGGGGAGACAGAUGGCCACUUCUAAGUAGCUGACUGCUUUCACAUAGUUCGUAGAGAGAGAUUCCGCGACAGAAAUCGCCUGCUGUUUCUAUCAGCGAGCACAGAGCUGUCCUGGCUGGCUCAGAGGCCCCGGGGAGGCAGGCCUGCGCGUCUCCAGGGGCGUCUGGCGGAACCUCGCUAUCUGGCGACAGUGACUAAAGUUGGAAGUAACUGUCUGAGUGCACGACCGCCCUGCACAUGCAUGUGCAUGCACACACACACAGAAACACACGCAUGCAAACAGACUCAUACAGACACAGACACACACACCUUUAGUCUAAUUUCAGAAGAAUCCAGAAACCAGCAUCCUACCCUCCUUUUAAACAAGUUCAAAACCUACACAAGAUUUCUCUCUGUCCUCCCAGUUUUUAAAUGAAAACACACCUGGCCGUUACCAAAGCACGUUCAGAUGCACGUCUGGUAUCUGAGUCUCACCCCCUGGGAUCUAAGUUAUACACACACUUGGGUGUACACACACACACACGUCCUUGAGUGCAUGUGUAUGUACUUGGGCGUUUAUCUAAAAGUGUAUGUAUGUAAUAAACAGACAUAAAAUGCUG